Molecule: ribosomal RNA, 252 nt
Filed under: uncultured bacterium
Lineage: Bacteria
Description: partial 16S ribosomal RNA
Rfam family: Bacterial small subunit ribosomal RNA
Source: RNAcentral
UACGUAGGUCCCGAGCGUUGUCCGGAUUUAUUGGGCGUAAUGCGAGCGCAGGUGGUUUAUUAAGUCUGGUGUAAAAGGCAGUGGCUCAACCAUUGUAUGCAUUGGAAACUGGUAGACUUGAGUGCAGGAGAGGAGAGUGGAAUUCCAUGUGUAGCGGUGAAAUGCGUAGAUAUAUGGAGGAACACCGGUGGCGAAAGCGGCUCUCUGGCCUGUAACUGACACUGAGGCUCGAAAGCGUGGGGAGCAAACAGG